This 500-nucleotide ribosomal RNA is filed under the name uncultured soil bacterium. RNAcentral's name for it is "bacterial SSU rRNA". It matches the Rfam family "Bacterial small subunit ribosomal RNA", at positions 26 to 522 of the family's 1533-position model. The record is from RNAcentral.
AGAUUGAACGCUGGCGGCAGGCCUAACACAUGCAAGUCGAGCGGUAGAGAGGUGCUUGCACCUCUUGAGAGCGGCGGACGGGUGAGUAAUGCCUAGGAAUCUGCCUAGUGGUGGGGGAUAACGUUCGGAAACGGACGCUAAUACCGCAUACGUCCUACGGGAGAAAGCGGGGGACCUUCGGGCCUCGCGCCAUUAGAUGAGCCUAGGUCGGAUUAGCUAGUUGGUGAGGUAAUGGCUCACCAAGGCGACGAUCCGUAACUGGUCUGAGAGGAUGAUCAGUCACACUGGAACUGAGACACGGCCCAGACUCCUACGGGAGGCGGCAGUGGGGAAUAUUGGACAAUGGGCGAAAGCCUGAUCCAGCCAUGCCGCGUGUGUGAAGAAGGUCUUCGGAUUGUAAAGCAACUUUAAGUUGGAGGAAGGGUUGUAACUUAAUACGUUGCAACUUUGACGUUACGACAGAAUAAGCACCGGCUAACUUCGUGCCAGCAGCCGCGUAA